RNAcentral lists this ribosomal RNA (497 nucleotides) under uncultured bacterium. RNAcentral describes it as "partial 16S ribosomal RNA". It matches the Rfam family "Bacterial small subunit ribosomal RNA", at positions 28 to 507 of the family's 1533-position model. The record is from RNAcentral.
GACGAACGCUGGCGGCGUGCCUAAUACAUGCAAGUUGAGCGCUGAAGGUUGGUACUUGUACCAACUGGAUGAGCAGCGAACGGGUGAGUAACGCGUGGGGAAUCUGCCUUUGAGCGGGGGACAACAUUUGGAAACGAAUGCUAAUACCGCAUAAAAACUUUAAACACAAGUUUUAAGUUUGAAAGAUGCAAUUGCAUCACUCAAAGAUGAUCUCGCGUUGUAUUAGCUAGUUGGUGAGGUAAAGGCUCACCAAGGCGAUGAUACAUAGCCGACCUGAGAGGGUGAUCGGCCACAUUGGGACGGGGACACGGCCCAAACGCCUACGGGAGGCAGCAGUAGGGAAUCUUCGGCCAUGGACGAAAGUCUGACCGAGCAACGCCGCGUGAGUGAAGAAGGUUUUCGGAUCGUAAAACUCUGUUGGUAGAGAAGAACGUGGGUGAGAGUGGAAAGCUCAUCAAGUGACGGUAACUACCCAGAAAGCGACGGCUAACUACGUG